Molecule: long non-coding RNA, 459 nt
Organism: Acanthochromis polyacanthus (spiny chromis)
Lineage: Eukaryota; Metazoa; Chordata; Actinopteri; Pomacentridae
Exons: 2
Source: RefSeq, a predicted model, not a curated record
CGGGGGAACAGCGAGAGAGAGGCGGGGAGGUGGUUGAACAUGAAGCUCCCGGUGACAGGAGGAAGACAGCGGGGCUGAACGGGAUCACCGGAACCGGUAACAGUCAGUCAGCAGCCAGCAGAUGGAUGACCAUGUGCAGGGCAUAGGCCAGGACCAGCAGCAGGAUGAGGGAGGUGAUGAGGCCCAUCAGGAUAGCCGGUGUCAGGAAGGUGAUGCAGUCACUCGCCGGGGAAAACUUACCGGAUGAGACACUGAAGGCCUGGAUCUGAGGAACACACAGACACAUGGUGAAAAUAACUAAGAAGACAUCUUCAUUCAUCCUCACACAGCUAUUUGUUGAAGGGGAUCCUCUAUGGAAAUUAAAAUCUAUGAUAAGAAUACUCUGGCUUUUUGAAGGCGAGAUGGUGAUAUUUCUGAGAUGUUGAUAUUAAAUAAAUAAUCAUUUUUCAUGUACCAUUA